GGAGUUUGGGCCGUGUCUCAGUCCCAAUGUGGCCGUUCACCCUCUCAGGCCGGCUACUGAUCGUCGCCUUGGUGGGCCGUUGCCCCGCCAACUAGCUAAUCAGACGCGGGCCCAUCCUGUGCCUAUAAAUAUUUGACGGCAUUGCCAUGCGGCAUCGCCGUGUUAUGCGGUUUUAUCAGCCGUUUCCAGCUGCUAUCCCCCUGCACAGGGUAGGUUACCCACGCGUUACUCACCCGUCCGCCACUAACUUAAAUCAAAAGCAAGCUUCCGAUCUAAGCCCGUUCGACUUGCAUGUGUUAAGCACGCCGCCAGCGUUCAUC
This 320-nucleotide ribosomal RNA is filed under the name uncultured Lachnospiraceae bacterium. RNAcentral's name for it is "partial 16S ribosomal RNA". The record is from RNAcentral. Lineage: Bacteria; Bacillati; Bacillota; Clostridia; Lachnospirales; Lachnospiraceae.